RNAcentral lists this ribosomal RNA (497 nucleotides) under Philautus sp. DNP Java. RNAcentral's name for it is "partial 16S ribosomal RNA". It matches the Rfam family "Bacterial large subunit ribosomal RNA", at positions 1854 to 2574 of the family's 2925-position model. Lineage: Eukaryota; Metazoa; Chordata; Amphibia; Anura; Rhacophoridae. The record is from RNAcentral.
CAGCCUGCCCAGUGACAAAGUUCAACGGCCAUGGUACCCUAACCAUGCGAAGGUAGCAUAAUCACUUGUUCUCUAAAUAAGGACUAGUAUCAAUGGCACCACGAGGGUCACACUGUCUCCUUUCCCUAAUCAGUGAAACUGAUCUCCUCGUGAAGAAGCGAGGAUAAAACUAUAAGACGAGAAGACCCCAUGGAGCUUUAAACCUCCAGCAACUUAAUCUCAUACUCCUUUAUAACUAUGCACUGCCUACCGGUUUUAGGUUGGGGCGACCAAGGAGAAAAAAUAAACCUCCAUGACGAAAAGAACUAAAUCUUUAUCAAAGAGACACCCCUCUAAGAAUUAGAACACUAACGCUUAUGACCCAACAAACGAUCAACGGACCAAGUUACCCUGGGGAUAACAGCGCAAUCUACUUCAAGAGCCCAUAUCGACAAGUAGGCUUACGACCUCGAUGUUGGAUCAGGGUAUCCCAGUGGUGCAGACCCUACUAAUGGUUC